RNAcentral lists this non-coding RNA (772 nucleotides) under Pongo abelii (Sumatran orangutan). Lineage: Eukaryota; Metazoa; Chordata; Mammalia; Primates; Hominidae. The record is from RNAcentral.
AAGCAAAAGAAAGGCAUAAAGUCUAACGAGUAUAGCUUCUGAGCUGGGGAAGCAGAAGCAUGGGCAAUGAGAUUGGGGCCACACACAUGGUUGAAAAGAUUUGAGUUAAGAUUCCGUUAAAAAUUGAAAGCGAAUCAAAAGAAAAACCUUGCAACCUUGGAGGCCCUCUAGUGCCCAAAUCAGAGUGUAUGGAAGAAUCCAGCCCACCGAUCCUUCCUCAGGACGAAGCACAGCACGACAGCUUUCAAGUUCCUACGUGUAAAAGUGAUUCCUCUCGGCUGGGCGCGGUGGUUCACGCCUGUAAUCCCCGCACUUUGGGAAGCCGAGGCGGGCGGAUCACAAGAUCAGGAAAUCGAGACCAUCCUGGCUAACACGGUGAAACCUCCCUCUCUACUAAAAAUACAAAAAAUUAGCCGGGCGUGAUGGCAGGCGCCUGUAGUCCCAGCUACUCGGGAGGAUGAGGCAGGACAAUGGCGUGAAUCCAGGAGGCGGAGUUUGCAGUAAGCCGAGAUUGCACCACCGCACUCCAGCCUGGGCGACUGAGCGAGACUCCAUCUCAAAAAAAAAAAAAAAAAAAAAAAAAAGUGAUUCCUCUCUGUUAGUGAUCUGCCGUGUCUCAGAUACUUUACAAACAUUAUUGAUCCCCCCACGAUCACCUCACUUGGUGGCAUUUUUUUUCUCACAAGUUUCAGAUGAAGAAACUGAAGUCACAGAGAUGAAGUGACUUGCUCAAGGGCCCCAAGUGAGUCAAUCCCCAAAAUCUCCUUUGUGA